This 1150-nucleotide ribosomal RNA is filed under the name Lactobacillus delbrueckii. RNAcentral describes it as "bacterial SSU rRNA". It matches the Rfam family "Bacterial small subunit ribosomal RNA", at positions 24 to 1144 of the family's 1533-position model. Lineage: Bacteria; Bacillati; Bacillota; Bacilli; Lactobacillales; Lactobacillaceae. The record is from RNAcentral.
UCAGGACGAACGCUGGCGGCGUGCCUAAUACAUGCAAGUCGAGCGAGCUGAAUUCAAAGAUUCCUUCGGGAUGAUUUGUUGGACGCUAGCGGCGGAUGGGUGAGUAACACGUGGGCAAUCUGCCCUAAAGACUGGGAUACCACUUGGAAACAGGUGCUAAUACCGGAUAACAACAUGAAUCGCAUGAUUCAAGUUUGAAAGGCGGCGCAAGCUGUCACUUUAGGAUGAGCCCGCGGCGCAUUAGCUAGUUGGUGGGGUAAAGGCCUACCAAGGCAAUGAUGCGUAGCCGAGUUGAGAGACUGAUCGGCCACAUUGGGACUGAGACACGGCCCAAACUCCUACGGGAGGCAGCAGUAGGGAAUCUUCCACAAUGGACGCAAGUCUGAUGGAGCAACGCCGCGUGAGUGAAGAAGGUUUUCGGAUCGUAAAGCUCUGUUGUUGGUGAAGAAGGAUAGAGGCAGUAACUGGUCUUUAUUUGACGGUAAUCAACCAGAAAGUCACGGCUAACUACGUGCCAGCAGCCGCGGUAAUACGUAGGUGGCAAGCGUUGUCCGGAUUUAUUGGGCGUAAAGCGAGCGCAGGCGGAAUGAUAAGUCUGAUGUGAAAGCCCACGGCUCAACCGUGGAACUGCAUCGGAAACUGUCAUUCUUGAGUGCAGAAGAGGAGAGUGGAACUCCAUGUGUAGCGGUGGAAUGCGUAGAUAUAUGGAAGAACACCAGUGGCGAAGGCGGCUCUCUGGUCUGCAACUGACGCUGAGGCUCGAAAGCAUGGGUAGCGAACAGGAUUAGAUACCCUGGUAGUCCAUGCCGUAAACGAUGAGCGCUAGGUGUUGGGGACUUUCCGGUCCUCAGUGCCGCAGCAAACGCAUUAAGCGCUCCGCCUGGGGAGUACGACCGCAAGGUUGAAACUCAAAGGAAUUGACGGGGGCCCGCACAAGCGGUGGAGCAUGUGGUUUAAUUCGAAGCAACGCGAAGAACCUUACCAGGUCUUGACAUCCUGCGCUACACCUAGAGAUAGGUGGUUCCCUUCGGGGACGCAGAGACAGGUGGUGCAUGGCUGUCGUCAGCUCGUGUCGUGAGAUGUUGGGUUAAGUCCCGCAACGAGCGCAACCCUUGUCUUUAGUUGCCAUCAUUAAGUUGGGCACUCUAGA